Molecule: unclassified non-coding RNA, 328 nt
Filed under: soil metagenome
Description: partial contains 5.8S ribosomal RNA, internal transcribed spacer 2, and large subunit ribosomal RNA
Rfam family: 5.8S ribosomal RNA (bases 1-120)
Source: RNAcentral
GAUGAAGAACGCAGCGAAAUGCGAUAAGUAAUGUGAAUUGCAGAAUUCAGUGAAUCAUCGAAUCUUUGAACGCACAUUGCGCCCCUUGGUAUUCCGAGGGGCAUGCCUGUUCGAGCGUCAUUAUAACCCUCAAGCUCAGCUUGGUGUUGGGGCCUGCUGCACUGGCAGCCCUUAAAAUCAGUGGCGGCGCCAUCUGGCUCUAAGCGUAGUAAUUCUUCUCGCUAUGGAGUCCUGGUGGAUGCUUGCCAUCAACCCCCAAUUUUUCUAUGGUUGACCUCGGAUCAGGUAGGGAUACCCGCUGAACUUAAGCAUAUCAAUAAGCGCAGGA